This 378-nucleotide unclassified non-coding RNA is filed under the name plant metagenome. RNAcentral describes it as "partial contains 5.8S ribosomal RNA, internal transcribed spacer 2, and large subunit ribosomal RNA". The stretch from base 1 to 105 matches the Rfam family "5.8S ribosomal RNA", at positions 50 to 154 of the family's 154-position model. The record is from RNAcentral.
GAAAUGCGAUAAGUAAUGUGAAUUGCAGAAUUCAGUGAAGCAUCGAAUCUUUGAACGCACCUUGCGCUCCUUGGUAUUCCUUGGAGCAUGCCUGUUUGAGUAUCAUGAAAUCUUCAAAGUAAAUCUUUUGUUAACUCAAUUGGUUUCUACUUUGGUAUUGGAGGUCUUUGCAGCUUCACACCUGCUCCUCUUUGUUCAUUAGCUGGAUCUCAGUGUUAUGCUUGGUUCCACUCGGCGUGAUAAGUUAUCUAUCGCUGAGGACACUGUAAAAGGUGGCCAAGGUAAAUGCAGAUGAACCGCUUCUAAUAGUCCAUUGACUUGGACAAUACUUUUGUGAUCUGAUCUCAAAUCAGGUAGGACUACCCGCUGAACUUAAGC